UGUUUUGUGGCGUAGUUGGUUAACGCGCCCUAUCUAGAGAAUGGAGGAGUCGUGGGUUCAAAUCCCACCUGAACAA
This is a non-coding RNA of Aedes albopictus (Asian tiger mosquito), 76 nucleotides long. NCBI's taxonomy places the organism in Eukaryota, Metazoa, Arthropoda, Insecta, Diptera, Culicidae. The record is from Rfam.